AUUGAACGCUGGCGGCAUGCUUUACACAUGCAAGUCGAACGGUAACAGGCCUUCGGGUGCUGACGAGUGGCGAACGGGUGAGUAAUGCAUCGGAACGUACCCAGAGGUGGGGGAUAACGCAGCGAAAGCUGUGCUAAUACCGCAUGUGAUCUGAGGAUGAAAGCGGGGGACCGAGCAGCAAUGUUUGGCCUCGCGCCUUUGGAGCGGCCGAUGUCGGAUUAGCUAGUUGGUGGGGUAAAGGCCUACCAAGGCGACGAUCCGUAGCUGGUCUGAGAGGACGACCAGCCACACUGGGACUGAGACACGGCCCAGACUCCUACGGGAGGCAGCAGUGGGGAAUUUUGGACAAUGGGCGCAAGACUGAUCCAGCAAUGCCGCGUGCGGGAAGAAGGCCUUCGGGUUGUAAACCGCUUUUGGCAGGAACGAAACGGUGUCCGCUAAUACCGGGCGCUAAUGACGGUACCUGCAGAAUAAGCACCGGCUAACUACGUG
RNAcentral lists this ribosomal RNA (492 nucleotides) under uncultured bacterium. RNAcentral describes it as "partial 16S ribosomal RNA". It matches the Rfam family "Bacterial small subunit ribosomal RNA", at positions 29 to 507 of the family's 1533-position model. The record is from RNAcentral.